GGAGGAAUACCGGNGGCGAAGGCGGCCCCCUGGACAAAGACUGACGCUCAGGUGCGAAAGCGUGGGGAGCAAACAGGAUUAGAUNCCNUGGUAGUNCACGCCGUAAACGAUGUCGAUUUGGAGGCUGUGUCCUUGAGACGUGGCUUCCGGAGCUAACGCGUUAANUCGACCGCCUGGGGAGUACGGCCGCAAGGUUAAAACUCAAAUGAAUUGACGGGGGCCCGCACAAGCGGUGGAGCAUGUGGUUUAAUUCGAUGCAACGCGAAGAACCUUACCUACUCUUGACAUCCACGGAACUUGCCAGAGAUGGCUUGGUGCCUUCGGGAACCGUGAGACAGGUGCUGCAUGGCUGUCGUCAGCUCGUGUUGUGAAAUGUUGGGUUAAGUCCCGCAACGAGCGCAACCCUUAUCCUUUGUUGCCAGCACUUCGGGUGGGAACUCAAAGGAGACUGCCGGUGAUAAACCGGAGGAAGGUGGGGAUGACGUCAAGUCAUCAUGGCCCUUACGAGUAGGGCUACACACGUGCUACAAUGGCGUAUACAAAGAGAAGCAAACUCGCGAGAGCCAGCGGACCUCAUAAAGUACGUCGUAGUCCGGAUUGGAGUCUGCAACUCGACUCCAUGAAGUCGGAAUCGCUAGUAAUCGUAGAUCAGAAUGCUACGGUGAAUACGUUCCCGGGCCUUGUACACACCGCCCGUCACACCAUGGGAGUGGGUUGCAAAAGAAGUAGGUAGCUUAACCUUCGGGAGGGCGCUUACCACUUUGUGAUUCAUGACUGGGGUG
RNAcentral lists this ribosomal RNA (782 nucleotides) under uncultured prokaryote. Its description in RNAcentral is "bacterial SSU rRNA". It matches the Rfam family "Bacterial small subunit ribosomal RNA", at positions 700 to 1482 of the family's 1533-position model. The record is from RNAcentral.